This 468-nucleotide ribosomal RNA is filed under the name uncultured bacterium. RNAcentral's name for it is "partial 16S ribosomal RNA". It matches the Rfam family "Bacterial small subunit ribosomal RNA", at positions 28 to 507 of the family's 1533-position model. The record is from RNAcentral.
GACGAACGCUGGCGGCGUGCUUAACACAUGCAAGUCGAACGGAAAGGCCCUGCUUUUGUGGGGUGCUCGAGUUGCGACCUGGUGAGUAACACGUAAGUAACCUGCCCUUGACUUUGGGAUGACUUCAGGAAACUUGAUCUAAUACCGGAUAGGAUCUCCUGCUUCAUGGUGGGGGUGGGAAAGUUUCGCCGGUUGGUGAUGGACUCGCGGCUUAUUAGCUUGUUGGGGGGGUAGUGGCUUACCAAGGCUUUGACCCGUAGCCGGCCUGAGAGGGUCACCGGACAAGUUGGGCUUGAAAUGCGGCACAGACUCCUACGGGACGGAGCGGUGCGGAAUAGUGUAUAAUGGGAGGAAGCCUGAUGUAGUAACGCCGCGCGGGGGAUGUGGGGAAUGGGGUAGGAAAGCGAUUCCGUUUGUGCCGAAGCGAGAAUGACAGUAACGGGUAAAGAAGCACCGGCUAACUACGUG